RNAcentral lists this ribosomal RNA (740 nucleotides) under uncultured bacterium. Its description in RNAcentral is "bacterial SSU rRNA". It matches the Rfam family "Bacterial small subunit ribosomal RNA", at positions 8 to 796 of the family's 1533-position model. The record is from RNAcentral.
AGAGUUUGAUCAUGGCUCAGAACGAACGCUGGCGGCAGGCCUAACACAUGCAAGUCGAACGCACCUUCGGGUGAGUGGCAGACGGGUGAGUAACGCGUGGGAACGUGCCUUUCGGUUCGGAAUAACCCAGGGAAACUUGGGCUAAUACCGGAUACGCCCUCAGGGGGAAAGAUUUAUCGCCGAAAGAUCGGCCCGCGUCGGAUUAGCUUGUUGGUGGGGUAAUGGCCUACCAAGGCUACGAUCCGUAGCUGGUCUGAGAGGAUGAUCAGCCACACUGGGACUGAGACACGGCCCAGACUCCUACGGGAGGCAGCAGUGGGGAAUAUUGGACAAUGGGCGCAAGCCUGAUCCAGCCAUGCCGCGUGGGUGAAGAAGGCCUUAGGGUUGUAAAUCCCUUUCAGCGGGGAAGAUAAUGACGGUACCCGCAGAAGAAGCCCCGGCUAACUCCGUGCCAGCAGCCGCGGUAAUACGGAGGGGGCUAGCGUUGUUCGGAAUUACUGGGCGUAAAGCGUAUGCAGGCGGAUCGUUAAGUUGGGGGUGAAAUCCCGAGGCUCAACCUCGGAACUGCCUCCGAUACUGGCGAUCUUGAGUCCGGGAGAGGUGAGUGGAACUGCGAGUGUAGAGGUGAAAUUCGUAGAUAUUCGCAAGAACACCAGUGGCGAAGGCGGCUCACUGGCCCGGUACUGACGCUGAGAUACGAAAGCGUGGGGAGCAAACAGGAUUAGAUACCCUAGUAGUCC